Molecule: long non-coding RNA, 535 nt
Organism: Mya arenaria
Lineage: Eukaryota; Metazoa; Mollusca; Bivalvia; Myida; Myidae
Exons: 5
Source: RefSeq, a predicted model, not a curated record
GUUGCUGCUUGGGACAAUAAAGUUAAGUCAGCAACCGUCUACCAGACUGCAAGAUUAAUCUCUUCCAGAGGAUUUCGUACCUUUCCAGAUACACUGUGUUGUGUGUGGAUAAGAAAUGCAGAGUGGUACCAGCAAUCACCUAAGCCACCAUUCCCCUAACAGACAAAAGGCUCAUGGGGACAGUUCCUGCAAUUUGCAGCAAAGCUCUCAAUUGUAGCUCUACGAACUUCAGAUACUGCCGAUGGUGGAGCUUGGGUGCACCGGGCCGGUUUUUCAGCCGUCUGGAAUCAACAUCUCCAGCUGAACUGGGGCCGGGAAUAAUAUAAGACUCCUUAGCAGCAUGAGUUUCAGCCAGUCAUUGCUGUUCUUUACAUUGCUGAGGAGGACAGUCCUGCCAACAUAACAGCUUGUUCAAUAACAGCCAGCCUGGUUGCUGUAGCCACAGAGGAUUUUUCAAGGACAAGAACCAGUGCUGGUCAAAAUGUGGUCUAGUGUGGUUUUCCAUACCGGCUCUCGGCAAGGAUUUCCAAGAAAG